CCUGAGACAAAGGGGGACCGCUCGACUAGAGUUUCAGCAAUAAGGCUACAAAAAGUGGAGUUUUGGAUGCAGGUGGCCCUAUAUAUGUAGUGCCCCUCGACGGCCGAGAUGAGAGCACGCCCAACGAGGGUCUCCCAGAUCGUGACAUGUGACGGCAUCUGGACCUUCCCUCGGUCCGACGAUUCAACGCAUCUGCCCCAGAUUAGGCCACGUCGCCUCCAUCCGCCUGAACGGA
RNAcentral lists this long non-coding RNA (235 nucleotides) under Elaeis guineensis (African oil palm). Its description in RNAcentral is "long non-coding RNA (EGUI_LNC015680)". Lineage: Eukaryota; Viridiplantae; Streptophyta; Magnoliopsida; Arecales; Arecaceae. The record is from RNAcentral.